The sequence is a regulatory RNA element, 126 nucleotides long. It matches the Rfam family "Ribosomal protein L10 leader". From Rfam's summary of the family: This family is a putative r-protein leader autoregulatory structure found in B. subtilis and other low-GC Gram-positive bacteria. It is located in the 5' untranslated regions of mRNAs encoding ribosomal proteins L10 and L12 (rplJ-rplL). The record is from Rfam.
UUUGUAUUUUAUAAAUAACCUAAGACAGUAGGGGCAUCAAGCUUAAUAAUCCUACCGAGGUGAAAUUUGACUUGAACAUUUCAAGCACUUUUUGCCAUGGGUGAAAAGUGCUUUUUUAAUAUUCUU